UACGGAAGGCAGCAGUGGGGAAUAUUGCACAAUGGGCGCAAGCCUGAUGCAGCCAUGCCGCGUGUAUGAAGAAGGCCUUCGGGUUGUAAAGUACUUUCAGUCGUGAGGAAGGUGUUAAGGUUAAUAACCUUAGCAAUUGACGUUAGCGACAGAAGAAGCACCGGCUAACUCCGUGCCAGCAGCCGCGGUAAUACGGAGGGUGCGAGCGUUAAUCGGAAUUACUGGGCGUAAAGGGCACGCAGGCGGUUAAUUAAGUUGGAUGUGAAAUCCCCGGGCUUAACCUGGGAAUGGCAUUCAAGACUGGUUAGCUAGAGUCUUGUAGAGGGGGUAGAAUUCCAUGUGUAGCGGUGAAAUGGCGUAGAGAUGUGGAGGAAUACCGGUGGCGAAGGCGGCCCCUGGACAAAGGACUGACGCUCAUGUGCGAAAGCGUGGGGAGCAAAC
Molecule: ribosomal RNA, 441 nt
Filed under: uncultured bacterium
Lineage: Bacteria
Description: bacterial SSU rRNA
Rfam family: Bacterial small subunit ribosomal RNA
Source: RNAcentral